GCGGUGGAGCAUGUGGUUUAAUUCGAAGCAACGCGAAGAACCUUUACCAGGUCUUGACAUCCCGAUGCUAUUUCUAGAGAUAGAAAGUUACUUCGGUACAUCGGUGACAGGUGGUGCAUGGUUGUCGUCAGCUCGUGUCGUGAGAUGUUGGGUUAAGUCCCGCAACGAGCGCAACCCCUAUUGUUAGUUGCCAUCAUUCAGUUGGGCACUCUAGCGAGACUGCCGGUAAUAAACCGGAGGAAGGUGGGAUGACGUCAAAUCAUCAUGCCCUUAUGACCUGGGCUACACACGUGCUACAAUGGUUGGUACAACGAGUUGCGAGUCGGUGACGGCGAGCUAAUCUCUUAAAGCCAAUCUCAGCUCGGAUUGUAGGCUGCAACUCGCCUACAUGAAGUCGGAAUCGCUAGUAAUCGCGGAUCAGCACGCCGCGGUGAAUACGUUCCCGGGCCUU
Molecule: ribosomal RNA, 451 nt
Filed under: uncultured Streptococcus sp.
Lineage: Bacteria; Bacillati; Bacillota; Bacilli; Lactobacillales; Streptococcaceae
Description: bacterial SSU rRNA
Rfam family: Bacterial small subunit ribosomal RNA
Source: RNAcentral